Molecule: non-coding RNA, 5190 nt
Organism: Lactuca sativa (garden lettuce)
Lineage: Eukaryota; Viridiplantae; Streptophyta; Magnoliopsida; Asterales; Asteraceae
Source: RefSeq, a predicted model, not a curated record
AUCGGAAGUCCAAAGGGUUGAGUCGGUGUAUUCGCGCUUAAAAUAAUCUUCUUUCACUCGUCCCUCUCGCUUCUCUCCAAACACCGCCGGAGACAUACAUGUUUCUUUGAAGAAGAGGGUUUUAUUUGCAGGCAGCAUCUUCCUCCCUUUUUUCUUCCAUCGACAACCACCGUUUCCUCUUUUUUCAUUCUCCGGCGUUGAACAGUCCUCUGCGUUUCCCUCUUCCGUUGUUAGUUGUAGUGUGACGUCUGGUUCCGAUGUCAGUUUGGUUCACCGUCAUCAUCGAUCAAGAAAAAGAGUCCAGGUCUUUCUCCUCUGAUUUCUAGGUCACGUAAUAGAAGCACCCAUCAAGUGAAGAUGAUUGGUCAAGCAACGGAUUUUAGAGAUUGAAGUUUGAUUUUUGGGGGCAUAAGGUCAAAAUGCUUGAAUCUCAAUCAAUUGAGGAUACUUCCAAGAGGACAUCAAUGCCUCAUGGUGUGGCCUUUGGUGGAUUGAAAUGUUGAAAACAAGUGGUCAAGAUAAAGAGGGUGUUGGUGUUUGCUUUCAUUUCUCUUAUGAGGAAUCUCUUCAUUCAGCUGUGAUGCUUGCUCCAAUUAUGUUAAGAAAGUGUCGAUUUCAUUUCAUUCUUUCUGGUGAUCUGUACAAGAAAUGGGAUCAGAGUAAUGGUGCAAUGGAUCCAAAGGUUCCCAAAGAAUUUGUUUCAGUCCAUAAAGAGUAGGAUCUUAUUCAUACAAUUCAACAUACGCAAAGAGGCAGUAUGUUGUCAAAAACAAUUGGGAGAACAGGCUAAAAGGUUUACAAAAAUUAGAGAAAAGGAGGGUUUGAUCGAGAAAGAUGUGGUAUAAGGACUUGACAUCGCAUUGCCUUUUUAUGAGGGUGAUGAUAAUCCAAAUGUAUGCAUUGUGCAUGAUAUAUUGAUGACUUACUUGUUCUACAACUUUUGAUCUUGGUUAUUGCCAGUGCUUGAGUGAUCUCUCUCCAAUAUCAUUAUUCAUCAUGAAAGAUGAAUCGGCAGCUCAAUGCACAACUACUUCAAACAAAACGACUGCUUCUGUUUCCACUGGAUUCUGAUCCAAUUCAAAAAAGUGGCAAGUUUGGGCAUUUUUAGUGGGAUCUUAUUCAUACGGUUCAACAUACGCACAGAGUAGUUAAUUAACACAUCAGAGUAUAUGACUAUCAAAAGGCAAUGACUAUUUUACCCUUCCAACUUCUAUAACCCACAUAUUACGUUUAUUGCAAAUUCUUUUCAAGUUAUUUAAAAUGUGGUUUUCUUAUUUGAGUAUUUUCUUAUUGUUUUUAAGGUAAGGACUGACAGGUAAUUGUCGUUCUAUUAAGGUGAUGAUAUAUUCUUGACUUGUUCUACAACUUUUGAUCUUGGUUAUUGCCAGGGAAGUAACAACCAAUCACCCUUCUCUUUUCAUCCACCAAAACCAGAUGAUGUUGCUACAAGUGGACACCAAAGGCUAUAGAGCUUCAAAAUAAUUGCAAAUGUUGUAAGCAUCAAUCAGAUGUUCGACAACCAAAUGUUGAGUGUAAGUUGUGGGUGACAAAGGAGUAGGUUAUUGCUGAUGCAUAGACCCAUCACCUAUUGAAAGUAUACCCAUCUGUUGGAGGAGUUUCUUGCUAGCAGUUAAACAGCAUGUUCUUAUUGUCAGAUCAUCAGAAGAGGUUAUUGCUGUGAAUAACUUUCAAGACCCUCUUGUGACCAAGUUUUUCCUAGGAAAACAACUUUACAACUCUUCUGUGACAACCUUGUGACCAAGUUUUUUAUAUUUUGGUAAAAUUGACGUAUUUACCCUUUUGGCUAAUUUUAACUAAAUCUGUUAACGACAUGUAAUUCUAGGUUUGGGCAUUUUUAAUGGGUUCUUAUUCAUAAGAUUCAACAUACACAGAGAGGCAGUAUGUUAGAGUACAUGACUAUCAAAAACCAUUGGCAGGGAUGAAGUUGUGGAUGUUUGUCACUGUGAUUGCUGGAUGUAGCUUAUCCAUAGUAGUUGAUUGAAGGUUGCGAUCGUUGAAAGGAAAGAAGAAGAAGAAAUCCGAUCAUAGGGGAGAAGGAGAAGGAGGAUUGGCGGCAAAAUUAGGAUAAAUCAAGAAGAGCGCUCUGAUACCAUAAAAGCGUAUCAAAAGAUUCUGUGUCCCGUUUCUGUGUUGGUUGAUGAUAUAUAUAAGAUACAAUUUGAGAUCCUUUAUUUUACAACCUGAUAUACAUGCCUCAUCUCCAAAUAUAUUCAAAAUAUAAUACAUAUAUCCUAGUAUAAUAUUUUCAUACAACAAUAGUUAUUAUUAUAGGUUUACAAAAAUUAGAGAAAUGAAUGGUUUGAUCGAGAUAGAUGUGGUAGCAAAUGACCAUACAUUUCAAAUUAUUUAAAAAGUUGCUUUUUUAUUUAAGUAUUUUGUCAUUGUUUUUAGCGUAAGUACUUGACAGGUUGGUCUGAUGAAGUACCCAAACUCAAGUUGGAAAAUGAGGUAAACUAAACCCCUGUUACAUGUUACAUCAGACCUUUUGAAAUCCUGGGAAAGGUUGGUCUGAUAGCUUACAAACUCAAGUUACCUCAAGAACUCAACAAAUUUCGUGAUACCUUCCAUGUGUGUAAUCUUAAGAAGUGACUCUCUGAUGAGAACCUUGUUUUCCUCUUGAUGAGGUCCAGGUCAACACUAAACUUCACUUUGUGGAAUAACCAAUGGAGAUCUUGGAUCGAGAAACCAAAAGGGUCAAACAAAGUCGCACACCUAUAGUAAAGGUCUGAUGGAACUCUCGUAGAGGGUCGGAGCUUACUUGGGGACGCGAAUAUCAGAUGAAGUAGAAGUACCCACAACUGUUUAGUGGUGCUCCCUCUAGUAGUGGAACUAAAUAAUAAUAUGAAAGAAAUAAUUUCCAGAAAAAAUUCCUUUAACGGGGAGGUAAUGUGACAUCCCAAAAUCUAAGUCAGUAGGCAGUCAAUUUAUUGUGAACGACAGUGUAGUAGGACCUACGUCAUAGUACCUCAAUGAUUUUAAAUGCAAAUGAAAUCAUGUUACUCGUAAGUGCCUUCGUGAUACCUCAAAAUGAAAUGCUCAAAAAUUUGACCAUUGUCAUCAAACAGUAAGCAGUUCAAAAACCAGUGAAAUAUGAUGUCGUAAAAAUCUUUUUUGCAUUUGACCUACAUAGGGGCCAUGGAUGAUGAAAUUGGAUAAAAACAUGUUUUUAGGACUGCGUGGAUAUAAAGAACGUCCAAAACAAAGAUCGUAUGAAAAAGUUAUCCAUGUUUUAAGUUUUUAAGCAAGUAUAUACCUGCUUUACCCGGUAUCGGACACUACACAACUCAUUUUGAGGUAGUUACCCAUCUCGUAAAUGAAUUUUGAUCAUGUUUCUAAACUCAAGUUUCGGUCUAGUAUUUGAUUUUACUAUUCCAGUAUAUUUAGCUCGGAACCAAAUCAGUUUCGCAAAAACUGACGAAUAAAAACCCGAUUGACGUGAAACUUCAAACACUGUUUUACGGAGAUCCGUAUAUCGGAUUUGAAUUCUGUUUGAAUAUUUUAAAUCAUCAUAACUAUGAAAUUAUCCAAGCACUUUCGAAAUAUUUUUAUGUGCUCUGAAACUGACGUCACGUUAAUCGAGGCGACUUGUGUGCGAGAUAAAUCAAGGAGGACACCAAGGACAUGCUUGCAUGCAUGCUUAAAAGGAAGAGUCGGCAGUGUAGUAGGACCUACUGUAAAAGGAAGAGUCGGCAGUGUAGUAAGACAAUCAAUUUAUUGUGAACGACAGUGUAGUAGGACAUGCUGUAACGCCCGUAUAUCCGGGCUAGUCAAUUUAGAGACGAUAAACAUCAAAAAUGACUUUUUUGAUGGAAGAUUAUUUAGAAGGAUUAAUAUUAACUAAGUUGUAGUAUAUGUUACAAGGAUUUUGUACAUAUAAAGAAUGCCAAAAUCCGAGUUAUAACGAAUAAGUUAUGACCUGUCGAAGUUUCGCGACAGAACCGGCACGGCACAACGCGACGUAAAUAGUGAAUUUACGUUAGAGUGAUGUUUAGCCUUAGUGAUCUAAACGAAAGUCGUAUUGUUCGUUAAACCGAGAGCGUGCAUAAAACGAACGCCCAAAUCUGACUUCGUAUGAGAAAGUUAUGAUUUUUUGAAGUUUCGGCUUAGCAGUGUACAUCCCAAACUUUGAAUAUGAGAUCGAGCGAUAUUUAUCCGAAACAAUCUAAACGAGAAUUGAAGAUCUCGUCGAUAGUAGUCCAACGGUGAAAAGACAGACGAAAACGGACGUCAGUCGAAGGAGUUAUGAUUUUCGAACGGAGUUUUACUGUCCCGGCCUACUAAAAAUAAUAUAUUAAAAAUAAAGUAAAAAUUAGACGACGGAGUCUAAAUGAAAGUUGUAGAUCUUGUUCUCACCUAUGUGUCGAUAUAAAGAAUGUCGAAAACGAAGUUCGUAUGCGAAAGUUAUGAAUUUCUGAAGUUCAGAACGCGAAACCCCAAGACUGUCAGAAACCAAGAUGUAAACAGUGCCCACGACGUGGUAUGUUUUCUGACGACUCCUGGAGUCUGCCAGACCCAACUUGCGAUGACGCAUGCAAUAAAGACCCAACUUGGUAUGUUUGUUUACUUGAGAUGGAUGUUGAAUGAAUGUUUUAUACGAGCUUUUAAAAAGUUUUAAACUGUAUAUCUAAUUUAUAUCUACAAAUAUGUUGGGUAGAACAUGGGUAGAUAAAAUAGUUGGUGUGUGAUUAAAUAAUGUGAUAAGAGAUAGGUGAGGAUAUAAUGGUGAUGAUAAUUAAGUGAUGAUAGAUAGGUGAUGAAUUACGAGUCCAGGUGAUGUUGUGUCUGCAUACUUAUAUGAUGAUAGUCUAACCCUUAUUAUGAAUUACGAGUUCAGGUGAUGUUGUGGCUGCGUAAUCAUAUGAUGAUACCCUAACCCUUGCUAGACAUAUAUUGAGGGAGUGAUCCCCGAAUUAGUAUUGUCUAUGCGAUGUAGGCGAUGAUCCUUAUGAAAAGUUCUUAGGAACAAACAUAUAAGGAAAUAAGAUGUAAGGAGAUAAGAGGUAAACAUGAUAUAAGAGAUGACCUUUAGGAUAAUAUCUUUAGGGAAGAUUAAACGAAGAUAAUGAGGAUGGGUAAUUGUUUGAUAAUUAAAUAUAAUAAUUAUUUUAUUGUGGGUUGAAAACCAUAUACGCUCACCAAGCUUCCAAGCCUGAUCCACUCAGUUUUCUU